RNAcentral lists this unclassified non-coding RNA (1033 nucleotides) under Daphnia pulicaria. RNAcentral describes it as "neoverrucotoxin subunit beta-like, transcript variant X2". Lineage: Eukaryota; Metazoa; Arthropoda; Branchiopoda; Diplostraca; Daphniidae. The record is from RNAcentral.
UCCAGGUAAAGAAAAGUCAAGAUGUUAUUUAUUGAAAAUUUAGGUAGGAUUAUACGUCGUGUGGCACGAUUUUUUUCCAGUUAUUUAGGGAACUCAACAAUGUCCAUCAUGGAGGCGAGUACUAAAAUUUUGGAAAUUCCUGCUCUUGAAAGGGAUUUUAGAGAGGGAGCUCUCUACGAUGCGCGGAAUGAACAAAUUGUUAUAGGCUACAGUUUAUGGAAGGUAGAUGAUUUAAAGAAAAUCGAGGUCCACCGUAACGACAGCACAAAUUAAUACUCGAUAAAUGCAUCGGAUACUCUGAGCGAGAAAUUCAAGGGACUUAAUACCAGCGCUUCGGUUCAACUCAGCAUCGUAUCAGAAUUGAUUGACCUGAAACAAUCAGCGGAAAGUGUAAUGAAAACAAAUAUUACUGUAGGCGAGUCCAGCGUCCAAGUCCGAUAUUUCUUCAAAACGGGCUAUAAAGAAAUGGAUAUGGAUCAGUUGACAAAUAUUCGCUACGCAGAUGUUGCAAGAAGUGGACACAACAACAGAGCGACUCACUUUGUAACGAAAAUCCAAUACGGCGCCGGUGCCGUUUUCACUUUUACCAAAAAAAUUUGAAAGUAGCGAAAACGAAAUGAAAGUCAAGGACGAGGUCGCACUCUGUGGUAAAAAUGUCCAAAGUGUUCUCAACGGUAGUUUCGUAGGAAAUUAUCGAAAUUUUGCAAAUCAUAGCCAGAUGAAAUGCGAAUUUAAAAGUUUCGGCCUUUCCCUGAGUGAAGCGUUACCAACAACGUUCGACGAAGCCAUCAAGUUUGCCGGCAGUUUUGCCCGAACGGCUCAGCAGUCAUUCGCCAGACAUGGAAACGAGGCACUCGGUGUUCCUUGUAUCGUUUGGCUCCAUCCACUCGUAUCGCUGGAAGGAUGCGCUGACGCGCCCAAACUUUAUUGGGACUUUACCCCUGAUCAGGCGUGUCAAUGUAUCAAUUUUUUUGAAGAAUGUGACACAUUUGAAUUGAAAAUGUUAAAGUUAAAGUUAAAAUUUGCAUUGAUA